AAAGUCGUAACAAGGUCUCCGUUGGUGAACCAGCGGAGGGAUCAUUACCGAGUCCUGAACUCCCAACCCUUUGCGAACCUUACCAUCGUUGCUUCGGCGGGAUCGCCCCGUGGACCGGCCGUCACGGCCGGGCCCGGAUCCAGGCGCCCGCCGGGGGACCCAGACUCUUGUAUUUACAGUGGGAUAAUCUGAGUACUACACAAAUAAGCAAUCAAAACUUUCAGCAACGGAUCUCUUGGUUCUG
This 244-nucleotide unclassified non-coding RNA is filed under the name Ascomycota sp. RNAcentral describes it as "partial contains small subunit ribosomal RNA, internal transcribed spacer 1, and 5.8S ribosomal RNA". The stretch from base 1 to 47 matches the Rfam family "Eukaryotic small subunit ribosomal RNA", at positions 1785 to 1831 of the family's 1831-position model. Lineage: Eukaryota; Fungi; Ascomycota. The record is from RNAcentral.